GUCCACGCCCUAAACGAUGUCGACUGGUUGUUGGGGUUUGGCACUCUCAGUAACGAAGCUAACGCGUGAAGUCGACCGCCUGGGGAGUACGGCCGCAAGGUUAAAACUCAAAGGAAUUGACGGGGACCCGCACAAGCGGUGGAUUAUGUGGAUUAAUUCGAUGCAACGCGAAAAACCUUACCUACACUUGACAUGUCCGAGAGCCUGGAGAGAUCCAGGUGUGCCCGAAAGGGAAUCGGAACACAGGUGCUGCAUGGCUGUCGU
Molecule: ribosomal RNA, 264 nt
Filed under: uncultured bacterium
Lineage: Bacteria
Description: partial 16S ribosomal RNA
Rfam family: Bacterial small subunit ribosomal RNA
Source: RNAcentral